This is a long non-coding RNA of Brassica rapa (field mustard), 2753 nucleotides long. RefSeq lists it as uncharacterized. The record is from RefSeq and is a predicted model, not a curated record. NCBI's taxonomy places the organism in Eukaryota, Viridiplantae, Streptophyta, Magnoliopsida, Brassicales, Brassicaceae.
CUAAACAUUCCACAUUUUAAAAAAAAAUCGUUGGUGUAAAAUUUUGUUACAAAAUUAUGCAAAUAAUCAUAAAAUCAGUAGAAACUUCAUUUAGUAAAUAUUCAUAUUAAAAGUAAUGUAUACUAUAUAUAUAUGUUAGUAUCGUUUAAAUUUAAUUAUAUAUCAUAUACGAUAGAUAAUAUUGAUUGUUUUAAUUUAUUUACCCUAUACGACCGUUUAAUUUAUAUGCGUACACUAUUUAUUACAUAAUAGUAACUGAUUUCUUAGUUAUUUAAUAUAUACUUAUUAUUUUAUUAUUUCAUAAUAUGCAUAAAACAUAAAAUAAGUAAUAAUAUAAAAUAUGUAUUCUGUUCAAGGCGCGGAUCUUAACCUAAGUAUGUAUCUCUUUAAUAAUUUUAAAUCUUAAACAUAUUCUAAAUCUCAGGCCAAAACAAAAUAAUGAAAUGAGAAUAAACUCAAAAAUCAAUAUUUAUAUCGAGUAAUAACUAAAAUGAAAAAAACGACACAAAAAUGAAAAAAACAUAUUGAAGAUAUAUAGGAUGGGCACGCGAACGUAAACUUCUCAUAACUAUAAUUAACUUUUAAAUUUCUUAAUUGUGAUAUAAAACCGAUAUGACAUAGUUUCAUUGUAAUCAAAUAGUAGGUCUGAGAUUUUUUGGCCUAAACGUUAGGUUCUUAUGCGAUAAGUGAUUUUUUUACCUAAAAUAUUUUUAAAAAUGAGAUGAGCUCAUCAGUAAACAAAUUAUGUAAUUAACAAAAAUAUUUUUUAAAAUUUUUUUAAGAGCCAAAAAUAUUUAUUUGAUCAAGAAUAUAAAUUUUAUUUUUCCAUACGAUAUUUCUUAAAUAAUUUUUAUAUAAAUUCAUCAUGCGCUUUCGCAGGUCUUUAUCCUAGUAUGUUAAUAUAUAAACGAACGAGCAUAUAUUAUUUGAAAAUGAUUAGUUGAAAUAUCUUAUACAUGAACAUUUUUGCCAUGACUUGGGAAAAAAACUAGAGGAUUCUGGUUCCAUGCACACUCUUAGGCUAUAAUUAUUUUUUUCUCAAUUUUUGUACAUAACUAUUCGUUCUCCUGAUGAUUAAAAAUAUAACAUUUCAUCCAAAAAAAAACUAGAGGAUUAUGUUAACACAAUGAUUAUUUGAUUGCUACAAAUGUUAUGAUAUUGAUAAAUGGGAUAGACAAAGAGCGUUUAUAUUGAUUAGAGAAACAGAGAGAAACUCUUUCUAGCAGGGGUGGGACUUUCUACCAUUAAGAGGAGCAUAAGCACCACCAGAGAAAUGUUCGCUACUAGGUCGACAGAUGGAGAGAAGAUGAGGCACUGGCUUCAUGGAAGAAAACCGUACCUUUGUCAGGCGAGAGAUAUCCAGACUUCUCAUUUUGAGGUUAAAAGAAAUGAUUUAGAGCAACUUUUUUUUUGGUCAACAGAGCAACUUUGACUAAGACACUAAAUUUGAUGUUAAAAUAAUAUUAUAUAUAUAUAUAUAUUUUUUUUUUAUUAUUAUUAUUAUGAUGUUUUAUUUUAUUUUAUCUUCAAUACAACACCAAGAUUUAACAUUAAAAUUUUUGAAUUUUUUUAUACAUAGUAUUUGUUUUAAUUGACUAAUUCAUUUAAAUUUAAGAUGAAAAACUGAAAAGAAAUAACUGUUUAUAUAUUGUUCCUAAAAUUAUUUGAUCACAUUUAGAUUUUAUGCUUGUUUGAUUAAAAUUUUGAAUUAUAUAAACUUUUAUCUUUUUAAAAAAGUUAAUUUAUGUAAAAUACCAAUUGAAAUUAAAAAUAACACUAUUACAAAUGUUAGUAUAAAAUAUCUAUGAUAUUUAUCUUGGUUAAAUUUUUAUCUAAUUUAUAAUAUUCAUUUAAUUAUAUUAUUCACUGAAUUGUUAUGAAAUAAAAAUGAUAAGUAUAAAACAACUAAUGUGAUAUAUUUAUUUUUGCUUUAAAUUUUGAAUUAACUAAAAAUAUUAAUUUAGUUAUAUUACUAAAUAAAAUAAAAUUAUGAUGAUAACUAAGAUAUGACAAAACAAAAAUGUAUUAAUUACAUUUGACUAAUUAUACACUUAUACUGUAUUAUUUAAAUGAUUAUUUCCAUAAGAGAUGCCUAGUUUCUUUUUGUAACUCCUAAAAUUUGUUGACCUCACAUCUAUAUUUAAAUGAACUGGCUAAUUAAACUGACUGAUUAUUUUAUAUUUUAUUUCGCUAAUGAUAUCUUUAGUGGUCAAAAGUCUAUUAUAAGUAAAAUCUGAUAUAAUUUAUUAUAUGUAUUGUUUUUCUCAUUUAAGUAUAUAUUUUUAUUUUAUGUGAUAAAAAAUUAACAAAGAGAAAAAGAACAUCCCAUAUUUUACAACCUGUAUAUAUAGACAUAUAAUCAUUAAUAGACCAAAGUCAUUUGAAAAGAAAAAUAUCAAACAGAUAAUAUUGAUCAUGGCCAAGUUAUCAUGUUCUUUUUUUCUUCUACUAGUGAUUAUAUUCUCGGUAUGUUUAAUGGUUGAAAAAUCCGAGGGAAUGCUAUGUGAAAUAACCAUUGACCAAGAACAGGACUGUGAAAUGUUUUUUUGCACUCAGGACUGCGCCAGGCAUUAUAAUGGCGUUGGAGAAUGUUUGGACGAUCCUAAUGUUUUCGGACCUCGUAACUGUCGUUGUAAAUAUAACUAGAGCUUGACCCGCGCAUCCGCGCAGGUGUUAGUUUUUUGAUAAAUGAAUAUUUAUUUGUAUAAGUGAUAAUAUAUAUUUUAAAAUUUACCCGUUUAAUUUUUUUUUAA